AAGAAUUCCCCUUUCACUGCAUACAGAUAUUUUCAGCUGUAAUUUCUUUUUUCUCCUGUGUUGAACGUUUCUUCCAUUAUCUGUACCCCUUCACCUAUCCAUUCAAUAUGGGUUCUUCUAGCAAGCAGAUUCACAUCAUCUAAACUUCAGUUCCCCUCCUGAGAUGAGGAGAUGGAAAGCUCAACAUAAGCAGCAUCAGAAGCAGCAGUUUUAAUUCCUUUAUUUCCCUGGAGUAAAUUCAACUUCAGUUUUGAGGACUUUUGUGGUCUGCUUUUAACUGUUCUUCAUAUUGCAGUAUCAAUUGAAUGUUUUGGGAAGGAAAACCCUGGAAGUGAAGUCUGUGGGAAUUUCAAAUAUAAGUGUAUUUAUUUCAGUCACAGACAUGAAAGGCAUUCUUGUUUGGUUGGUUUUUAAUGCAGAACCAGAACAGGAAAAAGAUGAUGCAGUGGUGUCAAAUGCUGUGGUAGUGAUGUGGUUUGACACAUUAGCUAGUGCUGCAGUGUAAUAGCAAUGAAACUCUAAAGCAAAACAGCUGGCACUGACAAUCUGAUGUCCACAUUUACAUGUUUUGGGGAGUUUAAGUUGGUUUAGCUGUAGUCUGGCCCCAUGGGUUGAAUGCCUGUUAGCAGAUAUAUUUCCAGAACAAGAGUUUCCAUUUAAAUGGGAAAAUAAACAAAAUGGGGACAAUGGGGAUAUUUACUUCAGAAGUGCACCUUUGCACCAAAAUAAAAUGCUAAUUCAGACUCACAAUACGUGGCCAGAAGUGUGCCUCUACUUUUAUAACACAGAAGGAGUGAUGUUCAUUUACUCCAAGAAAAAGGGUGUUAUUAGCCACAGUCCAUUUAUCUGCUCAAGUGCAAUGUGCUGGCAAUUGAGGAUGAAUGCUGCAUGUUUAGAACCAUUAACACUUGGAAAGCAUAUAGAAAUGCCCUAAAAAGAAACAUACCCUAUGUUAACUAUACUCUCUGUGCUUUAAUGAUCCACCCACGUCCAAAUGUUGCCUCCCUCUUUUUUAAUCCUUCUUUGGCCGUGUGCCACGUUCACUUGAAAAAAGUAGCUUUUUCCUUUGAAUUACGUGUGGUUGAGAGCCCAUCACUAAAUGCUGAGAACCCUCUAUGCCUGCUGACUCUGGUGAAAACUGAUGGCACUCAAUACUCUGUAAAGAGCACAGUCUCCUGCCUGUUAGCAAAGGAUGUGGAGGGCAAAUGGCUGUGUGGGUGUGAGCACGUCUACAGGGAAAAGAGGAAGCAGCUGUGUGUGAGAAAAAAAGAAUGACCAAGGAAAAGAGUUGUGUGUAUGUGAUAGGGGGAGACUAAUACAGUUAAAAUUGAAGUGAUAAAUCAUACCUGAGAUCUCUCUUGAGACCUGUAAAUAGGAAACUGAAAAGCAUUUCCUUCUAUUUAUUUUAUAAGUGCUAUAAACUUUAUCAGCUUUUAGUAUUGGAGACUCGUGCAAUAUUUAUGGGUGGUUUACUUUAGAAGUUAUUCAGCGGUUAGCGUCAGGAGGCUAAUGAAAAAGAAAAUUGGGAUGGGUAAAGGAAAAAGGGCUUUUCCUACAGCCCCAUAAUAACAAAUGCAUCACAUCUGAGUUGCUUUAGCCCUCUUCCCAAUAUCUUUUGCUCCUGUAUUUCUCUAGCAAAUACCUACCCUGAGCUUCACAGCUCCACAGGGGAUCACAAAGAGCAUCACUUAUUGGUAAAACUGAGGACAAAACUUAUUCAGGAAUUCCUAUGAAGUGAAUCACAGAAGAAGGAGAUUGCACAGUAGGACUUGAAAAAAGGAGAGGGUUUCAGAGGUCUCAAUAGAUUAAAACAUGUGAAAGUCCUUCAAAUGGAACGGAAUCCAUGAUCACCCUCAAGUAGUCUUCAGUUGCAAUAUGGAGGAAGGCUACUGUGGGAACAUCCUCUUACACUGGAUAAGCUGAUGGCAGUAUUUUUGAACUGAUUUUGCUCUAAACAAAAUAAACAAGCUUCUCAUCCCUCAAAGAACUUCACACCAAUACAUUCCAAAUGUCUGUUUCUCAAUGUCUGGAAACAUUAUUCAAUUUCCCACACUUAUGCAGUUUCAUAAAUGGCUUAUUUAUGCUGUGCUCUUUCAAAUGGAGACAACAGCUGUUUUCAAAGUUUAGGGUUUCAAAAAAAAGAAAAGAAAUCUCUUCAAAUUUAUAUCUGAAUGAAAGAGUUUUCCAGAACUUACUGCUGUGUAGAAUCUCCUCCAAGAAAAAGUUGCAGAUUGUUCACAUAAGGAAAUGGGAACAUAAGAGAUUGCUGGGCUUAGUUAUAUGACGGAAUUCCCCCAAAAAAGCUGUGAACACAAGCCUAAAUUAAACAGCUCCAGAGAGCAUAUCUUAUGGGUAAGAGAGGAGGCUCUGUCCCAGCUGGGAAAAGCACUGGCACCAAAAAUGGCAUGAGCAAAGCACAGGGGCUCUCUGUUGCUCAGUUGUUUCUGUACACAGCCAUGGGGUGAAAAAUGGACUCAGAAGAGAACAUGACAGAGGGCAGCUCACACAUCUCAAACAUGAGACUAAUGUAUCGAUAGCUCAGUCUCCUCACCUUAUCAAGGAGGGAACCAAGAGAUGACUAACUUAUUUAUAAACACCUCAAGAGAAUCGUCCAUUGCUUAUGAGGUCUUUAGUAUAGCAGAGAAAAACAAACCAACAAAUCCUAACAUUAAGCUAGACACAGACAAAUUCACACAAGAAAUAGGUUCUUUUUCUUUUUUUAACAAAUCUAAGAAUGGAGUACAAAAGUAGGCUGACUUUGGCACAUUUUUGAAAUCCUCAAAUCAAGAUCAGAUGCCUUACUGGAUGAUGCAUUAUUUUAAGCACACACAAGUUAUUGGACUCAUUACUGAAACAGCUGGAUAAAUGUCUCUGACAUGCAUCACAUUAGAUGAUAGUAUGUUAUUCCCUUCUGUCCCUUAAACUGUAAGUUUGUGAGUGAAGAAGUUACUUAAUCCUGUAAAUGUAAAAUAUGGCCUUUAUUGUUUGACUGCAAAGACAUGUUAAAAAAUGAAACAAACAAAAACAAACAAAACAAAAACCCCCAACCAAACACAAAACCAAGUGAUCUUUAUAUAAAGUGAUGUUGUAAGGAAUAUGGUAUUUUACCUAUGGCCUGACUGUAUAGUAUGAGUAACAUUUUGGCCAAUGGGAAGUAUGCCUUGAACUUCAAAAGGAUGAGGUUUAAAAUGCCUCUGCCAGCAAAUGUCCAUUGUUGUCCCAGAUCUGAGAAAUUUCCAACUAUUCUUCAAGUAAAUUGAGCCGUGCACUGCCUGCUUGUCUCCUAGGGUCAGAUGGACUAAGAGCAAGUUUUGUGGAAAUCCUUCAGAGAGCCCAGGAACAAACAUUCAAGGAUGGUCUUUCUGUAACCUUGUUUAAUUUUACCAUCUCACAGGUUUCUGCUGCUAUUGACCCUAGAAAAGACUUUGACUGCAUUAUUUUUAAAAAACCAUUUUACAGAUUAAUUUUUAUUUACUUGGAUAUGAUUUAUCAAAAGAGCUGAGAGAAAAAAUUCUGUAGAGUAAAUAAACAAUACGUCUCUCCUAGGAUUUUAUGUCUAGACCAGACAAUAGGUUAUGAAAUAAUAAAAGAGAGAAAGAGGAGGAAAAGAAGGAGUUGUCAAAGGGGAUAGAGGCAGUGUUAUACCUAGAAAAAGCUAAAAGAAAAAUAAUGAUGACCUGUGGUUCACCUGUUAUAAGACAAAGGUUCAGAGAAGGGAAAAUGCCUGAGUUACUGGGAAAAAAAUAUUAAAUUAUUCUCCUUUUUACUGGCCUAAGGUAAAUGUGAGUGAAUAUGCUACUCUUCAAGCCAGAUUCAGCAUAGUGAUGAGGAACAGUCCUUUCCAGCAAACAGUUUUAGCCACAACAUAAAAAAUUAUCUGCUAGAAGAUUAAAUCAAUAAAGGGCAGUUUUCAUAAGUGUAGUAUAUUCAUGUCAUUUACUGAAACAAGAUGAAGCAAAUCUCUUGCAUAUUAUGCCUUUUAAUUGACAGGAAAGGUCUCACCUUUGAUGCAGGGAGUGAUAUUGUUUAACUUAAGAGUUGUGUUUUACUUUUCAUCAAUGACUUGGUUGAAGGAGCAGAUGCCUCCUCAGCAAAUGCAGUGACAACACAAAGCUGGGAGCACUGGCUGAUAUCCCUAGGGGCUUCACAGCCCUUCAGAAGGACCUUGACAUGGUGGAGAGAUGAGCAGAGAGGAACCUCCUGAAAUUCAGCAAAUGCACGGUCCUGCACGUGUGGGAGAAAAACCCCCUGCACCAGCACAGGCUGAGGGCUGAGCUGCUGGAAAGAGCUCUGUGGAGAAGGACCUGGGAGUCCUAGUGAACAACAAGCUGUGAGCCAGCAGUGCCCUGUGGGACAAGAAGCCCAAUGGGAUCCUGGGCUGCAUCAGGGAGAGAGUUGCCAGCAGGUCGAGGGAGGUGAUCCUGCCGCUCUGCUCAGCCCUGGUGAGGCACAUCUGCAGUGCUGUGUCCAGUUCUGGGCUCCUCAGGACAGGAGGGAUAUGGAGUUCCUGGAGCCAGUGCAGCACAGAAUGCAAAGAUGAUUAAGGGACUGGAGCAGCCCUCUUAGGAAAGGCUGAGGGAGCUGGGCCUGUUCAGCCUCUAGAAGAGAUGACAGAGGGGACCUCGCCAAUGUCUGUCAGUAUCUGAAGGGAGGGUGUCAGGGGGAUGGAGCCAGGCUCUGCUCAAUGGUGCUGAGCUGUGGGAAUCCAGAGCUUCCCUCUGGCUGCUCUGGAAGGUCUGGGACCCUGGCAGGGGGUCAGGAACCCCCCUGUACAGAGCCCCCAGAGACACUGUCUCUGAUCUCUGUCCAUGGAAAAGAGUUUUCAAUCUUACAGGAUGAAUUACAAGCUCUGAGUGUUUGAUAUAAGUAAUAAUUAAGUGUGGCACGGGUGCAAAAGUCAAAUUUUAGGAUUCUAGAUUAGGGGUUCAAAGAGGACAAGAUGGAGGAAAUUGGGUGUGUCUUGUCCUUUUUCUCCUUCUUCAUGCCCUCCAUGUUUCACUGUAGUGUUGGCAUUUUUCUGUUGGUUUAGGCUGGGGACACACUGUUCAACGUAGGUUACAGAUUAUUGGCACAUUAUUGUAAAUACAGCACACGUAGUUUCUGGUAUAUAAUGUUUGUAACAUCCCACUGAGGGCAGAGCCCCACACGCUGCCCUGCAGGACAGAGCUGCGGCAGGGCAGCAGAACAUGUUAGAGAUAAGCAAGAAUAAACAACCCUGAAAACCAGCACAGACGAAUUAUGGCUUCUUCUUUGGCAACGGGGCAGAAAGACAGAGACUUUCUACAAUCUCGGAAUCAUCAAUACCACAGAUUCUGACACUGAACAAUGGGACAAGAGACAACAGGUAGACACUGUUGCUCAGAAAUUACGCCUGAACAUGAGGAACAGCUUCUUUACUGUGCAGGUGACCGAGCACUGGAACAGAUUGCCCAGAGAUGCUGUUGUGUCUCCCUCACUGGAGAUAUUCCAGACCAUCUGGACACACUCCUGUGCCAUGUGCUCUGGGAUGACCCUGCUUAAGUUGUGAGGUUGGAGCAGAUGACCCACUGUGGUUCCCUGCAAUCCACCCGGUUCUGUGAUUCUGUGAUGUGAAGGAGUAAAGAUUUUUUUAUUUCAGUUCCCAUGCGAUGUAGUAAGACCUGUGCACCUCCAGACUCAGGAGCUGUUCUUCCUGUUUGUUUUCAUACUCAAAAAUAAACCAUCAGAAGAAAACAUACAGGAGUUGUACUUUGUCUAGAUGCCAACACCAUACCAGAGAAGUCCAGCUGGCAGUCUGAAGACCAGAACCAGCCUUCCUUCCAGCCCACUGUGUAUCCUCUGAGGAGGUAGGAAACAGUUGCCUGGGAAGCACAGUUGGACCUAAAAAUCAAACAUCUCCCCCAAUGACUGUGAAAAAAUUCAUGGUUAGAGCUGCACAUGCAAGAGGGGAUGGUACUGGCAUCAAGCCUUCUUCUUUGUUCAUAGACUUCUACCAGCAACCUAGGAGUUCCUCUGAGAGACCAUGGAAGAUUUCUGUGAUCUCACCCUACCAGCUGUGGAAGUAGGUGGUCAGUUCUGCUGAGGGGUUUUAUAAUGUUGAGGAAAACCUUGAAGUAUGAGCUAAGAUCCUCCCUCCCCAACCAAAAAAAAAUAAAAA
This is a long non-coding RNA of Taeniopygia guttata (zebra finch), 6136 nucleotides long. The record is from Ensembl. NCBI's taxonomy places the organism in Eukaryota, Metazoa, Chordata, Aves, Passeriformes, Estrildidae.